GGGGAUAUGGCUUGGUGGUAGGGCAUCCGCUUUGCGCACUGAGGGACCCCGGUUCAAUCCCUGGCAUCCCCA
RNAcentral lists this transfer RNA (72 nucleotides) under Sphaerodactylus townsendi. Its description in RNAcentral is "tRNA-Ala". It matches the Rfam family "tRNA". Rfam says of the family: Transfer RNA (tRNA) molecules are approximately 80 nucleotides in length. Their secondary structure includes four short double-helical elements and three loops (D, anti-codon, and T loops). Lineage: Eukaryota; Metazoa; Chordata; Lepidosauria; Squamata; Sphaerodactylidae. The record is from RNAcentral.